AUGUCGGCCGCGGGGAAGGCGAAGGCGAGCGGCGGCAAGCGGGGCGGGGCCAAGGACCCCGACGAGGCGCCCCGGUCCGACAAGAGGCGGCGCGACAUGGACGACUCCGACCCCGAGCUCGAGCUCGACAGCGACUUCAAGCAGAUCGUGACGAUGCUGCGCCACAUCAAGGACAAGGCUCACAAGGACGGCCAGAAGAAGACCGAGCAGGCCAUCUCCAGUGUUGCAACAGAGAUUCAAUCUAUGGUACAGGACACCAAGACAAAGUUUGAGAAGGAAAGCAGGCAGAAUGUUCUUAAAGCUCUAACGAAGGCUUCCAAAGAGUGUGAAGGUUCAUUGAAGACCGAGUACACCAAGUUUCAAGCCACUCAUGACAAGUUCUCCAAAGACAAGGCUGCACACGUACAGAAUUUCAAAGAUCUUUUCUCAAAGUUUGAAGUUGAAAAGGAGAAACUGAUAGUUCAGUAUGAACUGCAAAGGAAGAAGGAAAAGACUACUCUUGCUGAUCUUGAGAAAACAGUUUCGGAGAAGAUAACAGAUGCAGAGGAAUCUCUGAAGAAGUUGAAGCAGGGUGACAAAUCCAUCAUCAAGCUUCGCAAGUCCUUUGCCUCGUUCCUGAGCCCCGACGACGAGGAGGACUGA
RNAcentral lists this ribosomal RNA (642 nucleotides) under Triticum aestivum (bread wheat). RNAcentral's name for it is "partial small subunit ribosomal RNA". Lineage: Eukaryota; Viridiplantae; Streptophyta; Magnoliopsida; Poales; Poaceae. The record is from RNAcentral.